GCAGGGGUGGCCGAGCGGUCAAUGGCAGCAGACUGUAAAUCUGCCCUCCGAGUGAGUUCACAGGUUCGAAUCCUGUCCCCUGCA
This 84-nucleotide transfer RNA is filed under the name Chloracidobacterium thermophilum B. RNAcentral's name for it is "Candidatus Chloracidobacterium thermophilum B tRNA". It matches the Rfam family "tRNA". Rfam says of the family: Transfer RNA (tRNA) molecules are approximately 80 nucleotides in length. The record is from Rfam by way of RNAcentral. Lineage: Bacteria; Pseudomonadati; Acidobacteriota; Blastocatellia; Chloracidobacteriales; Chloracidobacteriaceae.